GAUGAAGAACGCAGCGAAAUGCGAUAAGUAGUGUGAAUUGCAGAAUUCCGUGAAUCAUCGAAUCUUUGAACGCACAUUGCGCCUUCUGGUAUUCCGGAAGGCAUGCCUGUUCGAGAGUCAUUAACAACCGUUUCGAUCCCUUUCUUUCAGAAAUUACAAAGAGUAAAAGGGUUUGGUUAUGGUGGAGGAGGGAAAGGGAGCGUUUAGCCUGUAAAAAAAGAGGCUGUGUUCCGCCUCCCCCCCAAAAUUGUACAGGCGGUCGUGUGCGCCCACGCAUCGAGGUGUUGUAAAAGCUGCCACGGCACUUUUCACCUGUGCAGUGCGAGAUUGGCCAGCCGGUUUAAAAACCCCUCCAAACAAUCAAAGGUUGACCUCGGAUCAGGUAGGGAUACCCGCUGAACUUAAGCAUAUCAAUAAGCGGAGGA
Molecule: unclassified non-coding RNA, 425 nt
Filed under: soil metagenome
Description: partial contains 5.8S ribosomal RNA, internal transcribed spacer 2, and large subunit ribosomal RNA
Rfam family: 5.8S ribosomal RNA (bases 1-120)
Source: RNAcentral